CAGUCUGCAACUCGACUGCGUGAAGGCGGAGUCGCUAGUAAUCGCGGAUCAGAAUGCCGCGGUGAAUACGUUCCCGGGUCUUGUACACACCGCCCGUCACACCAUGGGAGCCGGGAAUGCCCGAAGUCAGUGGCCCAACCGAAAGGGGGGAGCUGCCGAAGGCAGGCCUGGUGACUGGGGUGAAGUCGUAACAAGGUAGC
This 200-nucleotide ribosomal RNA is filed under the name uncultured bacterium. RNAcentral describes it as "partial 16S ribosomal RNA". It matches the Rfam family "Bacterial small subunit ribosomal RNA", at positions 1301 to 1500 of the family's 1533-position model. The record is from RNAcentral.